RNAcentral lists this ribosomal RNA (520 nucleotides) under uncultured Glomus. RNAcentral's name for it is "SSU rRNA". It matches the Rfam family "Eukaryotic small subunit ribosomal RNA", at positions 569 to 1090 of the family's 1831-position model. Lineage: Eukaryota; Fungi; Glomeromycota; Glomeromycetes; Glomerales; Glomeraceae. The record is from RNAcentral.
AGCAGCCGCGGUAAUUCCAGCUCCAAUAGCGUAUAUUAAAGUUGUUGCAGUUAAAAAGCUCGUAGUUGAAUUUCGGGGUCAGUAGGUCGGUCGUGCCACUGGUAUGAACUGGUUUUACUGAUUCCUCCCUCUUGAAGAACUGUAAUGCCAUUAAUUUGGUGUUGCAGGGAAUCAGGACUGUUACUUUGAAAAAAUUAGAGUGUUUAAAGCAGGCUUUAGCUUGAAUCAUUAGCAUGGAAUAAUGAAAUAGGACGUUUGAUCCUAUUUUGUUGGUUUCUAGGAUUGACGUAAUGAUUAAUAGGGAUAGUUGGGGGCAUUAGUAUUCAAUUGUCAGAGGUGAAAUUCUUGGAUUUAUUGAAGACUAACUACUGCGAAAGCAUUUUGCCAAGGAUGUUUUCAUUAAUCAAGAACGAAAGUUAGGGGAUCGAAGACGAUCAGAUACCGUCGUAGUCUUAACCAUAAACUAUGCCGACUAGGGAUCGGAUGAUGUUAAUUUUUUAAUGACUCAUUCGGCGCCUUA